Long non-coding RNA from Perca fluviatilis (European perch), 170 nucleotides. RefSeq lists it as uncharacterized. NCBI's taxonomy places the organism in Eukaryota, Metazoa, Chordata, Actinopteri, Perciformes, Percidae. The transcript is spliced from 2 exons. The record is from RefSeq and is a predicted model, not a curated record.
GCCACUGCCAGAGAUCUCGAUAAGUUCGCUACCAUGAUGAAACUCAACGUGGAUGUUUCGGGGGAAGAGAUCAACAUCCGCUCUCUUUAUCUGUUAGGCAGAGAGGCGACCCUGAAGGACUCGGACCUGGAACGUUUUAAGCUGCAGGCGAGCUGCCUCGGCUUCUCCGG